UUUCCGUAGGUGAACCUGCGGAAGGAUCAUUAACGUGCGCUCCUAGAGCAAACAAAACAAAAAUAAACGACCGUGAACACUAAAAAAACAAGUACUUUUUAAAUUUUUCAUCAAUAGUAGUUUGUGUUUCAUUACACAUGCUUUUUUUGAUGAAAAACCCACAACAUUCACCAAAUAUAUACAAAAACCCAUUCUAACUGAAACAUUCAUUUUCUCUCGAGAAAAUAAAUAAUAAACAAUUGACGACUUUUAACGGCGGAUCUCUAGGCUCGUGCACGAUGAAGAACGCAGC
RNAcentral lists this unclassified non-coding RNA (292 nucleotides) under plant metagenome. RNAcentral's name for it is "partial contains small subunit ribosomal RNA, internal transcribed spacer 1, and 5.8S ribosomal RNA". The record is from RNAcentral.